RNAcentral lists this long non-coding RNA (275 nucleotides) under Physcomitrium patens. Its description in RNAcentral is "long non-coding RNA (PPAT_LNC000126)". Lineage: Eukaryota; Viridiplantae; Streptophyta; Bryopsida; Funariales; Funariaceae. The record is from RNAcentral.
GGAUCAUGAUGUUUGAGCUUUUGUAUGCUCUUAUGAGUCAUGCUAAUAUAACAAAAUAUGCAAUGCAAUAUCUCUUAGACUAUUGCAGCCAAUUCUACUACCAACAGCACAUUAAAAGAAAGUGACUAUAGAUUUCAUUAUCUAUUUAGUGCAUAUGCCUUACAAUUAUACGACAAUUGUUGUCUUUAUAGAUUGACUUUUGAAGGAACUUCAUUUGGUUGCACUCUGAUAUUGAUGUCCUAGCAUUUGCAUGAAUCUUCUUUGAUAUUAUCUUU